AAUCAACGCUGGUGGCGUGCCUAACACAUGCAAGUCGAACGCGAAAGCCCCGCAAGGGGCAAGUAGAGUGGCAAACGGGUGAGUAACACGUGGGUGACCUGCCUUCGAGCGGGGGAUAACGUCCCGAAAGGGACGCUAAUACCGCAUAACAUCCUGCCUUUGAAGAGGUGGAGAUCAAAGCUGGGGAUCGCAAGACCCGGCACUUGAAGAGGGGCCCGCGCCUGAUUAGCUAGUUGGUGGGGAAUGGCCUACCAAGGCAACGAUCAGUAUCCGGCCUGAGAGGGCGGACGGACACACUGGGACUGAGACACGGCCCAGACUCCUACGGGAGGCAGCAGUGGGGAAUUGUUCGCAAUGGGCGCAAGCCUGACGACGCAACGCCGCGUGGAGGAUGAAGAUUUUCGGAUCGUAAACUCCUGUCGAAUGGGACGAAAAGAUUACGGGUUAACAGCCCGUGAUCCUGACGGUACCGUUAAGGAAACCCCGGCUAACUCCGUGCCAGCCGCCGCC
This 510-nucleotide ribosomal RNA is filed under the name uncultured bacterium. RNAcentral's name for it is "bacterial SSU rRNA". It matches the Rfam family "Bacterial small subunit ribosomal RNA", at positions 32 to 519 of the family's 1533-position model. The record is from RNAcentral.